RNAcentral lists this ribosomal RNA (867 nucleotides) under Circinotrichum circinatum. RNAcentral describes it as "partial large subunit ribosomal RNA". It matches the Rfam family "Eukaryotic large subunit ribosomal RNA", at positions 40 to 934 of the family's 3401-position model. Lineage: Eukaryota; Fungi; Ascomycota; Sordariomycetes; Xylariales; Coniocessiaceae. The record is from RNAcentral.
AUAUCAAUAAGCGGAGGAAAAGAAACCAACAGGGAUUCCCCUAGUAACGGCGAGUGAAGCGGGAACAGCUCAAAUUUGAAAGCUGGCCUUCUGGUCCGCAUUGUAAUUUGUAGAGGAUGCUUUUGGCGCGGUGCCUUCUGAGUUCCUUGGAACAGGACGCCUUAGAGGGUGAGAGCCCCGUACAGUUGGACACCUAGCCUUUGUAAAGCUCCUUCGACGAGUCGAGUAGUUUGGGAAUGCUGCUCUAAAUGGGAGGUAAAUUUCUUCUAAAGCUAAAUACCGGCCAGAGACCGAUAGCGCACAAGUAGAGUGAUCGAAAGAUGAAAAGCACUUUGAAAAGAGGGUUAAAUAGCACGUGAAAUUGUUGAAAGGGAAGCGCUUAUGACCAGACUUUUUCCUGGCGGAUCAUCCGGCGUUCUCGCCGGUGCACUUCGCCAGGUUUAGGCCAACAUCGAUUUCCGCCGGGGGAUAAAGGCUUCGGGAAUGUGACUCCCUCCGGGGAGUGUUAUAGCCCGUUGCGCAAUACCCUGGUGGGGAUCGAGGUUCGCGCUUCGGCAAGGAUGUUGGCAUAAUGGUCAUCAGUGACCCGUCUUGAAACACGGACCAAGGAGUCGAACAUUUGUGCGAGUGUUUGGGUGUCAAACCCUCACGCGUAAUGAAAGUGAACGGAGGUGAGAGCCUUAGGGUGCAUCAUCGACCGAUCCUGAUGUCUUCGGAUGGAUUUGAGUAAGAGCAUAAAUGUUCGGACCCGAAAGAUGGUGAACUAUGCGUGGAUAGGGUGAAGCCAGAGGAAACUCUGGUGGAGGCUCGCAGCGGUUCUGACGUGCAAAUCGAUCGUCAAAUCUGCGCAUGGGGGCGAAAGACUAA